UACGAAGGGGGCUAGCGUUGUUCGGAAUUACUGGGCGUAAAGGGCUCGUAGGCGGCCAACUAAGUCGGAUGUGAAAUCCCCAGGCUCAACCUGGGAACUGCAUCCGAUACUGGAUGGCUUGAAUUCGGGAGAGGGAUGCAGAAUUCCAGGUGUAGCGGUGAAAUGCGUAGAUAUCUGGAGGAAUACCGGUGGCGAAGGCGGCAUCCUGGACCGACAUUGACGCUGAGGAGCGAAAGCCAGGGGAGCAAACGGG
RNAcentral lists this ribosomal RNA (253 nucleotides) under uncultured bacterium. RNAcentral describes it as "partial 16S ribosomal RNA". It matches the Rfam family "Bacterial small subunit ribosomal RNA", at positions 524 to 776 of the family's 1533-position model. The record is from RNAcentral.